AAACUAUGAUGCGGGCACUUCCUAAGUAAGUCCUUGAAUCUCUCCCAAGCUUCAUACAUACUCUCUUGGUCAUGAUGGACAAAGGUCAUUAUCUCAUUGCGCAGCUC
Jatropha curcas is the source of this 107-nucleotide non-coding RNA. The record is from Rfam. NCBI's taxonomy places the organism in Eukaryota, Viridiplantae, Streptophyta, Magnoliopsida, Malpighiales, Euphorbiaceae.